This is a long non-coding RNA of Arachis duranensis, 1023 nucleotides long. RefSeq lists it as uncharacterized. The record is from RefSeq and is a predicted model, not a curated record. Lineage: Eukaryota; Viridiplantae; Streptophyta; Magnoliopsida; Fabales; Fabaceae. The transcript is spliced from 3 exons.
UAGUAAAUACAGUUCAAACAAAAGGUAAAAUCGUCAAAUUCAAAAACCAGAGUUGAACCGUUUAAUUGGUCAGGAAUCGGUCGGUCGAAUCAAACCGUAAUCUGGUCGGUUUUUAAAAUUAAGCCAAAAAACGCUGAGUUUUGACUUGGAACCAAAAGAGGAACCCUAGUCUUUCACCCAGACACCCACAGACUCACAGAGCCUCCCCUCCAGCCCUCCACUCUCACCUCUCGCUCUCAGUUCCCACUUCCCAGUCUCCACCUCGAGCUUCCGGCGCAACCUCCGUCCAGCCACUGCUGCCGUCGCAAGGUCUGUGGAAGUCACUCACCGUCGUAAGUUCCUUUCAGCCAGCUUUCCGUUUGCACAGCCAGCUUUCCUUUCAGCCGUGGAAAUCGCAGCCAUCGCUAGCGCCAGUUGCCGUCACAACCUUCCUUCCCUUCCACCGCGCAGCCACCGUGCGGACGUGGAAGCCUCCGUCGCGCAGCCACGUCGCCGCCGACGCUAGCUCUAUUCCACCGCAGCCACUGUCCCGAUCGAAGCUCGUUCGAAGGCGCGCCUUGUCUCCGUAUCUCCAUCUUGCGUGCUUUGUUGAAGAUUUCUUCUAGUUUCUAGCCCCAAUGAGUUCUGCUCACCGCAUCACAGAGCACUAGUUGCGGAACUCUGCCGUCGGUGUGCCGAGGAAGACGACCUUGAACUUCCGCAAUGUUGUCACCAUCGUCUGUCGCCGUCCGUUCUUCUUUGCUAUCGAAGAGAAACUAUAUGAUUUUGCAAGCUACCCUUCUCAGGAGCAUGAUGAAAUGGUUAUUGUUCCAUCUCCUAUAGAGUCUGAUGAACAUUUUGUUCAGAAACCACUUUGAAUGAUUAUUGAUUAUCUCUGCUCACUGAUGUUGUAUUCGUGUUUCUCUACUCUGAAUUUUACUGUAUUGUUGUGCCUUUUGUGCUCAAUGUUUUUAAUUCAAUGAAGUAAUAGAUGAAUUGAAUUAACUCAAUUAACUAGUUAAGUAUAUGAUCAAACAUUUGUUA